UGCAAGUCGAGGGGUAACAGGGUCUUCGGAUCGCUGACGACCGGCGCACGGGUGCGUAACGCGUAUGCAACCUACCUCUAACUGGGGAAUAGCCCCGAGAAAUCGGGAUUAAUACCCCAUAAUAUUCAUCAUUCGCAUGUUUGAUGAAUUAAAGUUCCGACGGUUAGAGAUGGGCAUGCGUGACAUUAGUUUGUUGGUGAGGUAACGGCUCACCAAGACUACGAUGUCUAGGGGUUCUGAGAGGAUUGUCCCCCACACUGGUACUGAGACACGGACCAGACUCCUACGGGAGGCAGCAGUAAGGAAUAUUGGUCAAUGGACGAAAGUCUGAACCAGCCAUGCCGCGUGCAGGAUGACUGCCCUAUGGGUUGUAAACUGCUUUUGUAUGGGAAGAAACUUCCGGACGUGUCCGGAACUGACGGUACCAUACGAAUAAGCACCGGCUAACUCCGUGCCAGCAGCCGCGGUAAUACGGAGGGUGCAAGCGUUAUCCGGAUUUAUUGGGUUUAAAGGGUGCGCAGGCGGAAUGAUAAGUCAGUGGUGAAAACCUACAGCUCAACUGUAGACCUGCCAUUGAUACUGUCAUUCUUGAGUACAGUGGAAGUGGGCGGAAUGUAUCAUGUAGCGGUGAAAUGCAUAGAUAUGAUACAGAACACCGAUAGCGUAAGCAGCUCACUAUACUGAA
RNAcentral lists this ribosomal RNA (685 nucleotides) under uncultured Bacteroidota bacterium. Its description in RNAcentral is "bacterial SSU rRNA". It matches the Rfam family "Bacterial small subunit ribosomal RNA", at positions 56 to 738 of the family's 1533-position model. Lineage: Bacteria; Pseudomonadati; Bacteroidota. The record is from RNAcentral.